This is a non-coding RNA of Daedaleopsis nitida, 93 nucleotides long. The record is from the annotation of a GenBank genome assembly. NCBI's taxonomy places the organism in Eukaryota, Fungi, Basidiomycota, Agaricomycetes, Polyporales, Polyporaceae.
GGUGAGAUGGCCGAGCGGUCUAAGGCGCCAGACUAAGGUACUGGCUGUUCAAUCUGGUCCGAAAGGGCGUGGGUUCGAAUCCCACUCUCAUCA